UAGGGAAUCUUCGGCAAUGGACGGAAGUCUGACCGAGCAACGCCGCGUGAGUGAAGAAGGUUUUCGGAUCGUAAAGCUCUGUUGUAAGAGAAGAACGAGUGUGAGAGUGGAAAGUUCACACUGUGACGGUAUCUUACCAGAAAGGGACGGCUAACUACGUGCCAGCAGCCGCGGUAAUACGUAGGUCCCGAGCGUUGUCCGGAUUUAUUGGGCGUAAAGCGAACGCAGGCGGUUAGAUAAGUCUGAAGUUAAAGGCUGUGGCUUAACCAUGGUAGGCUUUGGAAACUGUUUAACUUGAGUGCAAGAGGGGAGAGUGGAAUUCCAUGUGUAGCGGUGAAAUGCGUAGAUAUAUGGAGGAACACCGGUGGCGAAAGCGGCUCUCUGGCUUGUAACUGACGCUGAGGCUCGAAAGCGUGGGGAGCAAACAGGAUUAGAUACCCUGGUAGUCCACGCUGUAAACGAUGAGUGCUAGGUGUUAGACCCUUUCCGGGGUUUAGUGCCGUAGCUAACGCAUUAAGCACUCCGCCUGGGGAGUACGACCGCAAGGUUG
Molecule: ribosomal RNA, 550 nt
Filed under: uncultured bacterium
Lineage: Bacteria
Description: bacterial SSU rRNA
Rfam family: Bacterial small subunit ribosomal RNA
Source: RNAcentral